GUUUUUGUAGUUGAAUAACAACAAGGGUUUUUCAGGCCUUAGGUUCUGGUUAGUGUCCAGAUAAAAAUA
RNAcentral lists this transfer RNA (69 nucleotides) under Anguis veronensis (Italian slow worm). RNAcentral's name for it is "tRNA-Glu". It matches the Rfam family "tRNA". From Rfam's summary of the family: Transfer RNA (tRNA) molecules are approximately 80 nucleotides in length. Their secondary structure includes four short double-helical elements and three loops (D, anti-codon, and T loops). The record is from RNAcentral. Lineage: Eukaryota; Metazoa; Chordata; Lepidosauria; Squamata; Anguidae.